Long non-coding RNA from Triticum dicoccoides, 2551 nucleotides. RefSeq lists it as uncharacterized. The record is from RefSeq and is a predicted model, not a curated record. The transcript is spliced from 2 exons. Lineage: Eukaryota; Viridiplantae; Streptophyta; Magnoliopsida; Poales; Poaceae.
UUCGUCCAGAAGAGAGCCGCAGCCGCCUCGAGCAAUGGAGUCUGACUCCUCUUUUUCUCUCUGUACGCAACCUCUCCUUUCCUCUUCUCCUAGGGUUGCGCCGCCGCCGCAGCCCAUGCCAGCUACUCCGACGCCAUCCACCGGAGAAAGCGUCCUCCCCAGGUCCGCUUCUCCCCCAAACCAUCUCAUCUUCUUAUUCCACCCGGCCGCCAUGAUUGUUGCAGAGGAGGAGGAAGGGGAUGGCAAAAUCUCGGGAGAGAAAAAAACCGGCAAGCAAGCGAGAAGGAUGUCAUGGUAGAUGUAUGUUGACGAGCCGCUGCUCUGCGACAUCGACGGCCAGCGCCUCACCGCCGCCCCAUCCUCGGCCACGACGGCACUGCCUGGGCACAGUCCGAGCCCUUCCCCGAGGUCAAACCUGAAGAACUUACUGCAGUAAUAAAUGACUUCGAUGAACCACACACUUUGGCACCAACUGGAUUAUUCCUUGGUGGUACAAAGUCGCCAUGAAGGCAACCAACGCAGGCGACCUCCCUCUCUCUCGCUUCCUCUCCCAUGUAACCCGCCACCACUAGCGACAUCACGCUCAAGGCCGUCUUCGAGGACAUCGGCAAGUUCUACCUCAUCAUGGAGCUCUGCAACGGCGGCCGCUUGCUGGACGAGAUGGCCAGGUAUGUUACCUUCUCUGAGUUGCAUGCCACAUUUGUGAUCAAGGAUCUCACGUCAGUGGUGAAGUACUGCCACGAAAUGGGCGUCAUCCACAGGGACAAUAAGCCGGAAUAUAUUUUGCUCACCGGAAACAGGGAAGAUGAAACUAGCAGAUUUUGGAUAGGCAGCAUGAGUCACUAACGGUAUUUUUUUGCUAAUAUCUUAAGCUUUCUUCACACAUCAUGUAGAAUUUUAUAUGGAGCCAUCUUGGUACAGUUAUCUUCUUCGUAAUAGUAAAGGCCAAAGACAAAUUUCCAUGUCUUGGUGCAUUUUAAUUUCAGGUACCACUACAAUGUUGCAAAUGAUAGAUUAUAUUCUUAUAAGCUUAUUUUCCUCAAAAGUUUGAUCUUUAAUAAUGGAUGCUUCCUUCACUUUGACUUUCAAAGUAUAAUAAACAAGAACACCAAAAGGCCACGAAUGUGUAACGAUCUUUGAUUGUUCCUGUUUCUCUUGUUGCUUUGCAUCCGAUUUAUUUUUUAGGAGAAUAAUUCAAACAACCCUUGCCAAUGAAGCAGCAUGGGCUGGAGAAAUAGCGCUAAAACUUCAUUAAGUCGAAGUAGGCAGUAUCCUUUCUGAAUGGCCUUCUUUCUUCCUCAUAUGUCAACUGCAAACAAACAUGCUUCUGCUGAUGCUUAGAAGAAGCCAAGGAGUAUGUGUCCAGAACCUCUUUUAUAUUACCAAGCAAUACAUAUUUUCUGAAUGCACAUGAUAGAACUGAAAGGAUUUUUGUUAUCUUGCAUGAUGCCCUGUUGGUGUGAUACUGAAAAAUUCUGAUGUAUAGGUUUUUCUCAAUGACGGUUCUGACUUAGAUAAUUUAUUAGAAGAAAGAGCAGAAAAAAUUGAGAGGAUGCUGAAAUGACUCAAAUAGAACUACUAGAUCUCCAUGCUAGCAAGCUAAGUAUGUUCGAGGAAAUAAUACGAUGCAGUAAAUUUUCUUGUGAUCGUGGGGAUUGUUUACAGAAUUAGCAAUUUUGAUUCGCUUCAUUGCAAAAAUGAUACCAUUUAGAUUUUAGAAGUAGAAAUAAAUCGACUGUAAGUCCAACAUUUGACCAUAGAAGGUUUCAUAAUCUUCAGUAAUUAGUAUGGUAUUAUAACAUCUAGAAUUGAUGGUUUUACAUAGUUGGUCGGGAUUACUGUUGCUAUGGGUCUCAUGUUUCAAUCAGAAUACACUUCAUUUAGCAAGCACAAAGCGGCUGUGAGCACGCCACCGGCGUUGGGUCGAUGGUGUCAUGCAGCGAGGUAAGCAACGACACCUCCUCUUCCAUCAUUUUUUUCACCAUCUCCAAUUGAGGAGCUUUAUUAGAUUUGCUUGGGUUUGUAUGAAAGGUUGACUAAAAUUUUGAAGGACGUCCCAUAUACUAUAGUGCUUAUAUGUUUGUCUUAAAUUCUUAUGGCUUGAUCUCUGCCCAUAGGAAUUUGACUACUUGCUUUGUUGUCUCUUAAAAUGGAUAAUGGAUAAUACAAAUUUGGUGACUAAGCUUGGCGACUAAACUUGGCAACAAGCUCCCCGUCUAUAUUCUCGCGCACUUCUUGCUGCAUGUAUCCCCCGUCUCUAUUCUUAGGAGACAUGCUGAAGAGUAUCUUCCUCUCGUUGCUUCGCAGGGCAUGUCAAGAACUGGCAGCCAAGGAUCUCCAUGGAACUGAGUGGCAUUUCUUGGUGAUAUUACAAUUUGAGCAUUCGGUUUGAAGCCCCUUUAAAUUUUUAGUCGUUGUGUUAUUGUUUUGGUGUAGCACUUCAUGUCACAGUUGAAUGAUGAAUUCAUUACUUCAUGAGUAUGUGUGGCCUCUCUCCCUCUGUCUGAUUCUAUAUCAUGCCUUCCAAUGUUUUGUGUUUCAGAUGCCCUAA